Molecule: small nucleolar RNA, 133 nt
Gene: SNORA70
Rfam family: Small nucleolar RNA SNORA70
About the family: snoRNA U70 seems to be exclusive to mammals and is a member of the H/ACA class of snoRNA which contain H (ANANNA) and ACA box motifs. H/ACA box snoRNAs are involved in the conversion of uridines to pseudouridines (5-ribosyluracil) a constituent of structural RNAs (transfer, ribosomal, small nuclear, and small nucleolar).
Source: Ensembl
UUGCAGCCUAUUAAGCCGACCAGCCUCACUGUGGUGUGAGGGUGGUGUGCAAAGGCUGCAGACACAGACUCUCUGGUUGUGUAUGACCUCAGCUGUGAGGUGCUGGGGCCUUUAAGGGACCAUUGAGACAAAA